CCAGCAUCCAUUGUGGACCAUGAGGCAAUCUUGAGAAUGGAAACCAUACAAUACAAUAGUCAAAGAGGAAAGGUUGGAUCGAUCAGUGAAGUUUCACAGAAGUUGUGACAUUUGGGUUGGAUCUUGAAAGAUAAUGGGAGCUUUGAAGGUGAAUGAAAAAAGAAGUGGAAGAACAUUCCUGGUAGAUGGAACAGCAUAUGCCAAAGC
RNAcentral lists this long non-coding RNA (207 nucleotides) under Homo sapiens (human). Its description in RNAcentral is "HSALNT0190668". Lineage: Eukaryota; Metazoa; Chordata; Mammalia; Primates; Hominidae. The record is from RNAcentral.